GUGAAAUUCAGAUUUUAUUGUCCAAAAAGUUUGACUGGAACAUAGCCACAUGUACUGGUGCGUGGCGUGGCUGCUUCAUGCCGCUACCGCAAAGUGGCAAGAGAGCCACAUGGCUAGAAAAGCCAACAAUAUUUACCAUCUGCUCCGUUACCGAAAAAGUGUUGAGCCCUGCUUUACACCCCAAUGUGUACCUAUCCUUGCAGCCUCAAAUUACUGGCCAGCCUUGUUUCAUCUAUAGUUACUCCCAGUCCCACGGAUUCAAAGGAAAUCCCAGACAUCCUAUAAUUUCAUGUUCAUGUUGUUGAAAUUUAAAAAGUCUGAAAAUUCACCAAGAAGAUGUAAUAUAUAUGCACCAAACAUCAGAGCCCCAAAGUAUAUGAAACAAACAUUGACAGAAUCAAAGGAAGAAAUGGGUAGUUCCAUGGUAAGAGUAGGAGACUUCUUUCAGUAACAGCCCACGUUCAGUAAUGGAUAGGACAACCAGACAGACGAUCAGUCGCAAGACAGAACUUGAACAGCAUCAUAGCAACUGGACCUAACAGACACAACAGCAGUACACACAUUUUUCUCAAGUGCAAAUGGACCUUUCUCUAGGAUAGACAGUAUGUUAGACCACAAAACAAGUCAAGAAAUUUCAAAAGACUGAAGAAAUAAAAUACCUUUUCUGGCCACAGUGGGAUGAAACUAGAAAUCAGUAACUAGAUGAAAAACUGUAAAGUACACAAUUUUGUGAAAAUUAAACAACACUCUCAACCAGCGGAUUAAUGGGGGAAAUCACAAGGGAAAUUAGAAAAUAUCUUGAGAUAAAUGAAAAUUUAAACAUAACAUACAAAAAACAGGCACAGUGAAAGUGGUAGAAAGGAAAUUUAUAACUGUAAAUACAAAUAUUAAAAAAAUUAAGAUCUCAAGUCAACACUAAAUUUACAUCUGAAAGAACUAGAAAAAGAAGAGCAAUCAACCCAAAGCCAGCAGGAUGGAGGAAAUAAUAAAGAUUAGAGCAGAGACAAAAAUAGAGAACAGAAAAGUAAUAGAGGAAAAUAAAUGAAACCAAGAGUUUGCUGAUAACCAAAACUGACUUUUGGCUAAGAGUGACUAAGAAAAACAACUAAAAACCAGAAGGAGGGGACAUUACAACUGAGUACUAUGAGCAAUUAUAUAUCAAUGAAUUGGAUAACUUAGAUGAACUGGACAAAUUCUUGGAAACACACAGCAGUGUAUCAAGACUGAAUCAUGAAGAAAUGGAAAAUCUAAACAGACCUAUGCUAGUCAAGAGAAUGAAUUAGUAAUGAAAAGCCUCCCAACAAAGAAAAGCGCAGGGCCAUAUGGAAAUUCUACCAAACAUCUGAAGAAUUAAAUCAAUUCUCAGACUCUUCCAAAAAACUGAAGAGGAAAGGACACUUCCAAAUGUAUCCUAUGAGGGCAGCAUUAUUCUGAUACCAAAACCAAACAAAGACAAAGACACUACAAGAAAAGAACACCACACAUCAGUAUUCCUGACCAAGAUUUUUUUUUUUUUUAAUCAGUAUUCAACAAAAUACGGCCAACACAAUUCAGGGGAACAUUGAAAGGAUUACACAUCAUGGCCAAGUGAGAUUUAUAGCUGGUAUGCAAAGAUGUUUCAACAUGCUCAAGUCAAUAAAUGUAAUACAUACUACAUUAACAGAAUGAAAGAAAAAAAAUGUGAUAUCAACUGAUGCAGAAAAAGCAUUUGAGACAAUGUCAUGCCCUUUCAUGAUAAAAACUCUCAAUAACUGGGAAUAGAAGGAAACAACCUCAAAUAGAGGCCAUAUGAAAAUCCCACUGUAAACAUCAUAUUCAAUAAGACUGAAAGCAUUUACUUGAAGAUCAAGAACAAGACAGAAAUACCCUGUCUCACCACUUUUAUUUAACACAGUACUGGAGUCUUAGAGCAAUUAGGCAAGAAAAAGAAAUAAAAGGCAUCCAGACUGGAAAAGAAGCAGCAAAAUUAUCUCUGUUUGCAGAUGACAUGAUCUUAUAUGUAGAAAAUCCUAGUGUCUUUGUAUAGACAAUUUCAGUAACAUUGCAGUUUACAAAAUCAACACAACAAAUCUAUGAUAUUUCUAUACAAUAACAAGCAACCUCAAAAGGAAAUUUAAGAAAAUUCCAUUUAUAAUUGUAACAAAAAACUGAAAUAUUUAGGAAUAAACUUGAGGUAAAAGACUUGUACACUGAAAACCAUAAAACAUUGCUGAAAGGAAGGUCAACACAAAUAAAUAGAAAGCAAUUCCGUGUUU
Long non-coding RNA from Macaca fascicularis (crab-eating macaque), 2255 nucleotides. The record is from Ensembl. NCBI's taxonomy places the organism in Eukaryota, Metazoa, Chordata, Mammalia, Primates, Cercopithecidae.